Molecule: transfer RNA, 77 nt
Filed under: Terriglobia bacterium
Lineage: Bacteria; Pseudomonadati; Acidobacteriota; Terriglobia
Description: tRNA-Arg
Rfam family: tRNA
About the family: Transfer RNA (tRNA) molecules are approximately 80 nucleotides in length.
Source: RNAcentral
GUGCCCGUCGUUCAACGGACCAGGACACUCGGCUACGAACCGAGAGACUCGGGGUUCAAAUCCCCGCGGGCAUACCA